RNAcentral lists this ribosomal RNA (3113 nucleotides) under Streptomyces bottropensis ATCC 25435. Its description in RNAcentral is "bacterial LSU rRNA". It matches the Rfam family "Bacterial large subunit ribosomal RNA". Lineage: Bacteria; Bacillati; Actinomycetota; Actinomycetes; Kitasatosporales; Streptomycetaceae. The record is from RNAcentral.
UUAAGGGCGCACGGUGGAUGCCUUGGCACCAGGAACCGAUGAAGGACGUGGGAGGCCACGAUAGUCCCCGGGGAGUCGUCAACCAGGCUUUGAUCCGGGGGUUUCCGAAUGGGGAAACCCGGCAGUCGUCAUGGGCUGUCACCCUCGCCUGAACACAUAGGGCAAGUGGAGGGAACGCGGGGAAGUGAAACAUCUCAGUACCCGCAGGAAGAGAAAACAACCGUGAUUCCGGGAGUAGUGGCGAGCGAAACCGGAUGAGGCCAAACCGUAUGCGUGUGAGACCCGGCAGGGGUUGCGUAUACGGGGUUGUGGGAUCUCUCUUUUACAGUCUGCCGGCUGUGAGACGAGUCAGAAACCGUUGAUGUAGGCGAAGGACAUGCGAAAGGUCCGGCGUAGAGGGUAAGACCCCCGUAGCUGAAACAUUGACGGCUCGUUUGAGAGACACCCAAGUAGCACGGGGCCCGAGAAAUCCCGUGUGAAUCUGGCGGGACCACCCGCUAAGCCUAAAUAUUCCCUGGUGACCGAUAGCGGAUAGUACCGUGAGGGAAUGGUGAAAAGUACCGCGGGAGCGGAGUGAAAUAGUACCUGAAACCGUGUGCCUACAAGCCGUGGGAGCGUCGCGCAUCGAGUUUACUCGGUGCGUCGUGACUGCGUGCCUUUUGAAGAAUGAGCCUGCGAGUUUGCGGUGUGUUGCGAGGUUAACCCGAGUGGGGUAGCCGUAGCGAAAGCGAGUCCGAACAGGGCGAUUUUAGUAGCACGCUCAAGACCCGAAGCGGAGUGAUCUAGCCAUGGGCAGGUUGAAGCGGAGGUAAGACUUCGUGGAGGACCGAACCCACCAGGGUUGAAAACCUGGGGGAUGACCUGUGGUUAGGGGUGAAAGGCCAAUCAAACUCCGUGAUAGCUGGUUCUCCCCGAAAUGCAUUUAGGUGCAGCGUCGUGUGUUUCUUGCCGGAGGUAGAGCACUGGAUAGGCGAUGGGCCCUACCGGGUUACUGACCUUAGCCAAACUCCGAAUGCCGGUAAGUGAGAGCACGGCAGUGAGACUGUGGGGGAUAAGCUCCAUGGUCGAGAGGGAAACAGCCCAGAGCAUCGACUAAGGCCCCUAAGCGUACGCUAAGUGGGAAAGGAUGUGGAGUCGCACAGACAACCAGGAGGUUGGCUUAGAAGCAGCCACCCUUGAAAGAGUGCGUAAUAGCUCACUGGUCUAGUGAUUCCGCGCCGACAAUGUAGCGGGGCUCAAGCGUACCGCCGAAGUCGUGUCAUUCCAGCAUAUAGGGCCAACGCCUGCUGGGAUGGGUAGGGGAGCGUCGUGUGCCGGGUGAAGCAGCCGCGGAAGCGAGUUGUGGACGGUUCACGAGUGAGAAUGCAGGCAUGAGUAGCGAUACACACGUGAGAAACGUGUGCGCCGAUUGACCAAGGGUUCCUGGGUCAAGCUGAUCUGCCCAGGGUAAGUCGGGACCUAAGGCGAGGCCGACAGGCGUAGUCGAUGGAUAACCGGUUGAUAUUCCGGUACCCGCUGUGAAGCGUCAAACACUGAACCAGGCGAUGCUAAGUCCGUGAAGCCGUUCCGGACCCUUCGGGGAAAGGAAAGUGGUGGAGCCGACGGACCAGACUUGUAGUAGGUGAGUGAUGGGGUGACGCAGGAAGGUAGUCCAUCCCGGGCGGUGGUUGUCCCGGGGUAAGGGUGUAGGCCGUGCGAUAGGUAAAUCCGUCGUACUUGUGGCUGAGACCUGAUGCCGAGCCGAUUGUGGUGAAGUGGAUGAUCCUAUGCUGUCGAGAAAAGCCUCUAGCGAGUUUCAUGGCGGCCCGUACCCUAAACCGACUCAGGUGGUCAGGUAGAGAAUACCGAGGCGUUCGGGUGAACUAUGGUUAAGGAACUCGGCAAAAUGCCCCCGUAACUUCGGGAGAAGGGGGGCCAUCACUGGUGAUCCGAUUUACUCGGUGAGCUGGAGGUGGCCGCAGAGACCAGCGAGAAGCGACUGUUUACUAAAAACACAGGUCCGUGCGAAGCCGUAAGGCGAUGUAUACGGACUGACGCCUGCCCGGUGCUGGAACGUUAAGGGGACCGGUUAGUCACAUUUCGGUGUGGCGAAGCUGAGAACUUAAGCGCCAGUAAACGGCGGUGGUAACUAUAACCAUCCUAAGGUAGCGAAAUUCCUUGUCGGGUAAGUUCCGACCUGCACGAAUGGCGUAACGACUUCUCGACUGUCUCAACCAUAGGCCCGGUGAAAUUGCACUACGAGUAAAGAUGCUCGUUUCGCGCAGCAGGACGGAAAGACCCCGGGACCUUUACUACAGUUUGAUAUUGGUGUUCGGUUCGGCUUGUGUAGGAUAGCUGGGAGACUUUGAAGCUCGGACGCCAGUUCGGGUGGAGUCGUCGUUGAAAUACCAGUCUGGUCGUGCUGGAUGUCUAACCUGGGUCCGUGAUCCGGAUCAGGGACAGUGUCUGAUGGGUAGUUUAACUGGGGCGGUUGCCUCCUAAAGAGUAACGGAGGCGCCCAAAGGUUCCCUCAGCCUGGUUGGCAAUCAGGUGGUGAGUGUAAGUGCACAAGGGAGCUUGACUGUGAGACCGACGGGUCGAGCAGGGACGAAAGUCGGGACUAGUGAUCCGGCGGUGGCUUGUGGAAGCGCCGUCGCUCAACGGAUAAAAGGUACCCCGGGGAUAACAGGCUGAUCUUCCCCAAGAGUCCAUAUCGACGGGAUGGUUUGGCACCUCGAUGUCGGCUCGUCGCAUCCUGGGGCUGGAGUCGGUCCCAAGGGUUGGGCUGUUCGCCCAUUAAAGCGGUACGCGAGCUGGGUUUAGAACGUCGUGAGACAGUUCGGUCCCUAUCCGCUGCGCGCGCAGGAAUAUUGAGAAGGGCUGUCCCUAGUACGAGAGGACCGGGACGGACGAACCUCUGGUGUGCCAGUUGUCCUGCCAAGGGCAUGGCUGGUUGGCUACGUUCGGGAGGGAUAACCGCUGAAAGCAUCUAAGCGGGAAGCCUGCUUCGAGAUGAGUAUUCCCACCCACUUGAUGGGGUAAGGCUCCCAGUAGACGACUGGGUUGAUAGGCCAGAUAUGGAAGCCUGGUAACGGGUGGAGUUGACUGGUACUAAUAGGCCGAGGGCUUGUCCU